CCGGGCUGCCAUACCGGAGGGGAAACACCCGGUACCAUUCCGAACCCGGAAGUUAAGCCCUCCAGGGCCGAUGGUACUGCACCCGCAAGGGUGUGGGAGAGUAGGUCGCAGCCCGGG
This 117-nucleotide ribosomal RNA is filed under the name Caldifarciminota bacterium. Lineage: Bacteria; Pseudomonadati; Caldifarciminota. The record is from RNAcentral.